UAAGCCUGCGAAGGUGGCCUGUGAGGGUUGCUGGAGGUAUCAGAAGUGCGAAUGCUGACAUAAGUAACGAUAAAGCGGGUGAAAAGCCCGCUCGCCGGAAGACCAAGGGUUCCUGUCCAACGUUAAUCGGGGCAGGGUGAGUCGACCCCUAAGGCGAGGCCGAAAGGCGUAGUCGAUGGGAAACGGGUUAAUAUUCCCGUACUUGGUGUUACUGCGAAGGGGGGACGGAGAAGGCUAUGUUGGCCGGGCGACGGUUGUCCCGGUUUAAGCGUGUAGGUGUGUGUUCCAGGUAAAUCCGGUUCACUUUAACACUGAGGCGUGACGACGAGGCACUACGGUGCUGAAGCAACAAAUGCCCUGCUUCCAGGAAAAGCCUCUAAGCAUCAGGUAACAUCAAAUCGUACCCCAAACCGACACAGGUGGUCAGGUAGAGAAUACCAAGGCGCUUGAGAGAACUCGGGUGAAGGAACUAGGCAAAAUGGUGCCGUAACUUCGGGAGAAGGCACGCUGACACGUAGGUGAAGUGAUUUACUCAUGGAGCUGAAGUCAGUCGAAGAUACCAGCUGGCUGCAACUGUUUAUUAAAAACACAGCACUGUGCAAACACGAAAGUGGACGUAUACGGUGUGACGCCUGCCCGGUGCCGGAAGGUUAAUUGAUGGGGUCAGCGCAAGCGAAGCUCCUGAUCGAAGCCCCGGUAAACGGCGGCCGUAACUAUAACGGUCCUAAGGUAGCGAAAUUCCUUGUCGGGUAAGUUCCGACCUGCACGAAUGGCGUAAUGAUGGCCAGGCUGUCUCCACCCGAGACUCAGUGAAAUUGAACUCGCUGUGAAGAUGCAGUGUACCCGCGGCAAGACGGAAAGACCCCGUGA
RNAcentral lists this ribosomal RNA (870 nucleotides) under Salmonella enterica subsp. enterica serovar Pomona. RNAcentral's name for it is "partial 23S ribosomal RNA". It matches the Rfam family "Bacterial large subunit ribosomal RNA", at positions 1243 to 2096 of the family's 2925-position model. Lineage: Bacteria; Pseudomonadati; Pseudomonadota; Gammaproteobacteria; Enterobacterales; Enterobacteriaceae. The record is from RNAcentral.